UACUGUAUUCAAUGAUGUACACGUUUUUUACAUAAAUAUAUGGCAGCAUAGAUUAUUUAACUUUGUGCAGCACACUAAAGUACUUGUAUCCAGUUCUGAUUUCAAACAAAAUCUUCAAUGUGUAGCAAGUGUACUUCACAACCUACAAAUUAGGUUUAGGGUCAGCCACUGUGUUAUUAGUCAGUUCUACUAAUCCAUGAGUAAAGUAUUUAAAGCCUUUUACCAUUUUCCAUUAAUUUAAAACAACACAUCAUCACAUUACAUCUCAAGAUGAACAUUAUUGCAGAUCCAUUAGUUACAGUGGUGUGUUUAAUUAUGCAACAACAGUACACUACUGCACUCCAGAUGUAACAAAUAAAUUGUUGGAUGACAAUCAGUCAGGCUUUAAAAGUGGACACUCCACCGAGACUGCCCUGCUGUCUGUCACCGAGUCGCUGAGACGGGCGAAAGCUGAAUCAAGACCAUCAGUCCUGAUUCUGCUGGACCUUUCUGCAGCCUUUGACACAGUCAACCAUCAGAUCUUGCUCUCUACCCUCUCCUCGCUGGGCAUCACAGGAAGUGUGCUUGACUGGUUUAAUUCCUAUCUCUCAGCCCAACGACACCACAGUGACUACUCGAAUUUCUGCCUGCCUGGCGGACAUCUCGGCCUGGGUGAAGGAGCACCACCUGCAACUCAACCCAGCCAAGACUGAACUCCUUGUCUUUCCAGCCAACCCUGAUGUUGAACACAACAUCACCGCGCUGCUGGGUGCAACUACAGUAACGCCUUCCAAAUCGGUCAGAAAUCUAGGGGUAACCAUCGACAACAGACUAAAUUUCACAGACCACAUCUCAAAGACCGCAAGAUCAUGUUGAUUUACACUCUACAAUAUCAGGAAGAUAAGAUCCUUCCUCUCUGAACAUGCCACACAACUGCUUGUCCAGUCACUUGUCAUAACUAGACUGGACUACUGUAACGCUCUCAUUGCAGGCCUCCCUGCAUGUGCAACUAGACCCCUCCAAAUGAUCCAGAAUGCAGCAGCACGUCUGGUCUUUAAUGAACCAAAGAGAGCACAUGUUACACCACUCCUUGUCUCUCUCCAAUGGCUACCGGUUGAUGCACGUAUCAAGUUCAAGGCUCUGAUGCUGGCAUACAGAACAGUUACUGGGUCUGCUCCAGCAUACCUAAAUUCAUUUAUGCAGAGCUACACGCCCACUAGAAGUCUGCGGUCGGCUAAGGACGUCGCCUUGUUGUACCAACACAAAGAGGCACCAAAACACUUUCCCGGACUUUCAGCUUCAUCAUACCACGUUGGUGGAAUGACCUUCCCAACUCCAUCCGUGAAGCUGACUCACUCUCUGUGUUCAAAAAACGACUAAAAACACAUCUUUUCCAUGAGCACUUAACCAGUCAUUAAAAAAAUAAAAACAUUUCUGUUGCACUUUAUUCUGUUUUGAAUACUAUGACUGUGAUGCUAGUGAUACUUUGUAAUACAGCACUUUUCAUACCACUGUCUCCUAAGAUGAUUCGCUUACGUUUUCCUCUCUUGUAAGUUGCUUUGGAUAAAAGUGUCUGCCAAAUGAAUAAAUGUAAAUGUAAAUGUAAAUAAAUGAUUAUAAACUGAGAAUAUAAAAGGAAAAUUAAAAAGUUCCAAAAAGUA
This is a long non-coding RNA of Myxocyprinus asiaticus (Chinese sucker), 1640 nucleotides long. RefSeq lists it as uncharacterized. The transcript has 2 exons. NCBI's taxonomy places the organism in Eukaryota, Metazoa, Chordata, Actinopteri, Cypriniformes, Catostomidae. The record is from RefSeq and is a predicted model, not a curated record.